This is a long non-coding RNA of Pan paniscus (pygmy chimpanzee), 1140 nucleotides long. Lineage: Eukaryota; Metazoa; Chordata; Mammalia; Primates; Hominidae. The record is from Ensembl.
UUUGAGACGGCGUCUUAUUCUGCUGUCAGCCUGGAGUGCAACGGCGCGAUCUCGGCUCACUGCAAUCUCUGCCUCCCGGGUUCAAGCGAUUCUCCUGCCUCAGCCUCCUGAGUAGCUGCUACUAGAGACGCCCGCCACCAUGCCCGGCUAAUGUUUUUGUAUUUUUAGUAGAGAUGGGGUAUCACCAUGUUGGCCAGGGUGGUCGCCAUCUCCUGACCUCGUGAUCCGCCCGCCUUGGCCUCCCAAAGUGCUCAGAUUACAGCUGUGAGCCACCACACCCUGCCGAGUCCUACUAUUUUUAACAAGCAAAUCGCAAGGCAAUUUUCAACCACUUGCAGUUAAACAAAGUCACAAGACUAGGCCUGGGCAAUGGGAUAUGUGAGGAAGUGAUGUGAAUUCCUGGCCAAAGCAUGGAAGCGCAGAGGCAAGACCAUCCAGGUGACUCUUGCGAAGCAUCAGCUAUGGAGGCAAUGUGGUCCACGACACUUGUGACAGGGUUUCCAAAUGCCUGCCGCUUCAUCCCAGACUGUGUGGAAUACGCUCUACCUCUUUCUGACAGUGCUCCAAGGGUUAGCCUAAUAGGAAGGUGAAAGGCAGAGGCCAAGGGUGUGGGAAGUGAUUUCUGGCCAUUAGCUAUUUUACUAUCAAUUCUGAUUUCCUUAAGGGGCUUAAAACUGUCACUAUGUUCAAAGGUUUACACACUUACAACAGCCUCAGACAGCAAAAAAGAUAGUCAAUUUUCCACUAUAAUAUUAUAAUAGCACUUGUGCUAUUUAGUGCUCUCUACUCUGAUGAGUUUCUGGGACUUGUGGGGUAUGAUUCCCAGUGUGGCAACUUGACUUUAGCUGUUCCCUCACUUACCAGCAUUGACAUUUGAUUUUCGAUGUUUAUAAAUGGUCUUUUCCUCACCCCUUCACAGUGAUAGGCUUAUUUUGUUUGUUUCUUUGUGUUUUAAAUAAAAGCAAAUUGAAUAUAGUUGCAUUUCUGUAAUGACUUAACACUGCUUUAAAAAAUUGGUGAAUGAUGAAAGUCUGAAUAUGAAAAUAACAAACCAAUAAAUAUUGUGAAAUCUUAUAUAUGCUAUAACUUUUUUAAUUCUGAGUUAUCCAUUUUGAAUUUUCAUUAAAAUGUUUAAUAUAA